RNAcentral lists this ribosomal RNA (865 nucleotides) under Bacillus subtilis. RNAcentral's name for it is "bacterial SSU rRNA". It matches the Rfam family "Bacterial small subunit ribosomal RNA", at positions 48 to 892 of the family's 1533-position model. Lineage: Bacteria; Bacillati; Bacillota; Bacilli; Caryophanales; Bacillaceae. The record is from RNAcentral.
UCUAAUCAUGGCAAGUCGAGCGGACAGAUGGGGAGCUUGCUCCCUGAUGUUAGCGGCGGACGGGUGAGUAACACGUGGGUAACCUGCCUGUAAGACUGGGAUAACUCCGGGAAACCGGGGCUAAUACCGGAUGGUUGUUUGAACCGCAUGGUUCAAACAUAAAAGGUGGCUUCGGCUACCACUUACAGAUGGACCCGCGGCGCAUUAGCUAGUUGGUGAGGUAACGGCUCACCAAGGCAACGAUGCGUAGCCGACCUGAGAGGGUGAUCGGCCACACUGGGACUGAGACACGGCCCAGACUCCUACGGGAGGCAGCAGUAGGGAAUCUUCCGCAAUGGACGAAAGUCUGACGGAGCAACGCCGCGUGAGUGAUGAAGGUUUUCGGAUCGUAAAGCUCUGUUGUUAGGGAAGAACAAGUACCGUUCGAAUAGGGCGGUACCUUGACGGUACCUAACCAGAAAGCCACGGCUAACUACGUGCCAGCAGCCGCGGUAAUACGUAGGUGGCAAGCGUUGUCCGGAAUUAUUGGGCGUAAAGGGCUCGCAGGCGGUUUCUUAAGUCUGAUGUGAAAGCCCCCGGCUCAACCGGGGAGGGUCAUUGGAGACUGGGGAACUUGAGUGCAGAAGAGGAGAGUGGAAUUCCACGUGUAGCGGUGAAAUGCGUAGAGAUGUGGAGGAACACCAGUGGCGAAGGCGACUCUCUGGUCUGUAACUGACGCUGAGGAGCGAAAGCGUGGGGAGCGAACAGGAUUAGAUACCCUGGUAGUCCACGCCGUAUACGAUGAGUGCUAAGUGUUAGGGGGUUUCCGCCCCUUAGUGCUGCAGCUAACGCAUUAAGCACUCCGCCUGCGGAGUACGGUCGCAGG